Molecule: ribosomal RNA, 539 nt
Filed under: uncultured bacterium
Lineage: Bacteria
Description: bacterial SSU rRNA
Rfam family: Bacterial small subunit ribosomal RNA
Source: RNAcentral
CCUUACUGGUCUUGACAUAGUAAGAACUUUCCAGAGAUGGAUUGGUGCCUUCGGGAACUUUACAUACAGGUGCUGCAUGGCUGUCGUCAGCUCGUGUCGUGAGAUGUUGGGUUAAGUCCCGCAACGAGCGCAACCUUUUCCUAUUUGCCAGCGGGUUAAGCCGGGAACUUUAAGGAUACUGCCAGUGACAAACUGGAGGAAGGCGGGGACGACGUCAAGUCAUCAUGGCCCUUACGACCAGGGCUACACACGUGCUACAAUGGUCGGUACAAAGGGUUGCUACCUAGCGAUAGGAUGCUAAUCUCAAAAAGCCGAUCGUAGUCCGGAUUGGAGUCUGCAACUCGACUCCAUGAAGUCGGGAUCGCUAGUAAUCGCGGAUCAGAAUGCCGCGGUGAAUACGUUCCCGGGCCUUGUACACACCGCCCGUCACACCAUGGGAGUUUGUUGCGCCAGAAGUAGGUAGUCUAACCGCAAGGAGGACGCUUACCACGGUGUGGCCGAUGACUGGGGUGAAGUCGUAACAAGGUAGGCGUAGAUGA